AAAGUCGUAACAAGGUAACCGUAGGUGAACCUGCGGUUGGAUCAUUACCAAUAUGUGAUAUACAACUUGUUGUUAGCCCUUUUCCAAUUUUUAUUUGGUAGUUUUCUGGUAUUAUAUCUUUUGCUAACUUAUAAGAUAUUUUAUCAGUACGGGUUUUAUUACCCAGGCUACCAAAAGUGAACAAACCUAUAUUACUUUUUCAAGGCUAAAGAUUUUUAUUGAAAAAAAAAAAAUUGUAUAAACAACUUUUGACAACGGAUCUCUUGGCUCUC
This 272-nucleotide unclassified non-coding RNA is filed under the name Chytridiomycota sp. RNAcentral describes it as "partial contains small subunit ribosomal RNA, internal transcribed spacer 1, and 5.8S ribosomal RNA". The stretch from base 1 to 47 matches the Rfam family "Eukaryotic small subunit ribosomal RNA", at positions 1785 to 1831 of the family's 1831-position model. The record is from RNAcentral. Lineage: Eukaryota; Fungi; Chytridiomycota.